GACGAACGCUGGCGGCGUGCUUAACACAUGCAAGUCGAACGGAAAGGCCCUGCUUUUGUGGGGUGCUCGAGUGGCGAACGGGUGAGUAACACGUGAGUAACCUGCCCUUGACUUUGGGAUAACUUCAGGAAACUGGGGCUAAUACCGGAUAGGAGCUCCUGCUGCAUGGUGGGGGUUGGAAAGUUUCGGCGGUUGGGGAUGGACUCGCGGCUUAUCAGCUUGUUGGUGGGGUAGUGGCUUACCAAGGCUUUGACGGGUAGCCGGCCUGAGUGGGUGACCGGCCACAUUGGGACUGAGUUACGGCCCAGACUCCUACGGGAGGCAGCAGUGGGGAAUAUUGCACAUUGGGCGGAAGCCUGAUGCAGCAACGCCGCGUGCGGGAUGACGGCCUUCGGGUUGUAAACCGCUUCCGCCUGUGACGAAGCGUGAGUGACGGUAAUGGGUAAAGAAGCACCGGCUAACUACGUG
RNAcentral lists this ribosomal RNA (468 nucleotides) under uncultured bacterium. RNAcentral's name for it is "partial 16S ribosomal RNA". It matches the Rfam family "Bacterial small subunit ribosomal RNA", at positions 28 to 507 of the family's 1533-position model. The record is from RNAcentral.